Molecule: ribosomal RNA, 252 nt
Filed under: uncultured bacterium
Lineage: Bacteria
Description: partial 16S ribosomal RNA
Rfam family: Bacterial small subunit ribosomal RNA
Source: RNAcentral
UACGUAGGUGACAAGCGUUAUCCGGAUUUAUUGGGCGUAAAGCGCGCGCAGGCGGUUAUUUAAGUCUGGUGUUUAAUCCUGGGGCUCAACCCCAGUUCGCAUCGGAAACUGGAUGACUUGAGUGUAGGAGAGGAAAGUGGAAUUCCACGUGUAGCGGUGAAAUGCGUAGAGAUGUGGAGGAACACCAGUGGCGAAGGCGACUUUCUGGCCUAUAACUGACGCUGAGGCGCGAAAGCGUGGGGAGCAAACAGG